CUUUAUCAUGAGGUUUAGCACUCUUCUUUUUUCCAUCAUCUAUAUAUCUUUCUGUGUAUAUGCUUUUGUUACAUGUAAUAUAUGUACAAAUAAUAUUUGGGGACAAGAAGGAAGAAUGAAUUGCAUAGUUGGUUAUAUUUUAUUUUAUGUUUAAGAAAUUCUAAGUUUAAUUCUUCUACAUAUAAUAUUUGAACAAUCACGCUAAGGACGAAUAGUAAAUUCUAAAUUCCCAACAUCUUCCUUACAAUAUAUGAAACAUAAAGUUGGUAUUGGAAUUAUCACGUAUUGAUAAUUAAUCUUCCCGCGAGCUGAUACUUAUUAUAGCUGAUUUUGAAGUAUCAAAAAUCAUUGGAGGCCCUGAAAGUCAGACUAGCUAAGGAAGGCUCCAAAGCUAUUUUUGCUCCUUUAGUGGACCAAUACAUUUUGAGAAAUAUAACGAUUGAGAUGCAGGUUAUUAUUGUCAAUUCUAAUUUUCUUUCUUUGAGCAGAUGUGAGCUUUUGGUGUCUACUAAAUGUGGAUGUUGUUUU
Molecule: long non-coding RNA, 528 nt
Filed under: Capsicum annuum
Lineage: Eukaryota; Viridiplantae; Streptophyta; Magnoliopsida; Solanales; Solanaceae
Description: long non-coding RNA (CANN_LNC016980)
Source: RNAcentral